Molecule: non-coding RNA, 150 nt
Organism: Caenorhabditis elegans
Lineage: Eukaryota; Metazoa; Nematoda; Chromadorea; Rhabditida; Rhabditidae
Source: Ensembl
UUGAAGUUGCCUUCUCCAUUCCUGACGAAUGCAUUGCAAGGAUCCUCUGAAAAUUUUCGAUUCUCAGAGUUUUUGGAGGCUCAGUAAACUCACGAUUGAUCCUUGGGCAGCAGAAGCUCGAGUUUUGAUCCGAUGGGUUUCCAGUGUGAC